This 1539-nucleotide unclassified non-coding RNA is filed under the name uncultured Agaricomycetes. Its description in RNAcentral is "sequence contains 18S rRNA gene, ITS1, 5.8S rRNA gene, ITS2, 28S rRNA gene". The stretch from base 565 to 1539 matches the Rfam family "Eukaryotic large subunit ribosomal RNA", at positions 1 to 961 of the family's 3401-position model. Lineage: Eukaryota; Fungi; Basidiomycota; Agaricomycetes. The record is from RNAcentral.
GGAAGGAUCAUUAACGAAUUGCGUUCGGGGUUGUUGCUGGCUCUCCUCUCCGGGGGAGUAUGUGCACGCCUCGCAUCCAUUUCAACCUCACUCGUGCACUUCAGAGGACCGCUCGGUUCUCUUUUUCACACAAACCUCUGUAUAGUCAUUGUAGAACGUCUUGUAUUAAACUAAAUACAACUUUCAACAACGGAUCUCUUGGCUCUCGCAUCGAUGAAGAACGCAGCGAAAUGCGAUAAGUAAUGUGAAUUGCAGAAUUCAGUGAAUCAUCGAAUCUUUGAACGCACCUUGCGCUCCUUGGUAUUCCGAGGAGCAUGCCUGUUUGAGUGUCGUGUAAUUCUCAAUCCCGUUUGGUUUUGAAUCGAACGUGGAUUGGACUUGGGAGCUUGCUGUGCCUGUCUCUUGGUUCGGCUCUCCUUGAAUGUAUUAGCUCGGUCACGUAGUUGCCCGACGGUUCACGGUGUGAUAGUCAUUUCAUCGCCGUUCUGACUGUUUUGGUGCCUGUGUCUGCCGGCUUCUAAUACGUGUGUUGUCCUUUGUUGGAUAUAUGCACUCUUUGACAAUUGAUCUCAAAUCAGGUAGGAUUACCCGCUGAACUUAAGCAUAUCAAUAAGCGGAGGAAAAGAAACUAACAAGGAUUCCCCUAGUAACUGCGAGUGAAGCGGGAAAAGCUCAAAUUUAAAAUCUGGCGGGUUCCCCGUCCGAGUUGUAAUCUGGAGAAGCGUUUUCCGUAUCGGACCGUGUACAAGUCCUUUGGAAUGGGGCGUCAUAGAGGGUGAGAAUCCCGUCCAUGACACGGACUACCGAUGCUCUGUGAUACGCUCUCGAAGAGUCGAGUUGUUUGGGAAUGCAGCUCAAAAUGGGUGGUAAAUUCCAUCUAAAGCUAAAUAUUGGCGAGAGACCGAUAGCGAACAAGUACCGUGAGGGAAAGAUGAAAAGCACUUUGGAAAGAGAGUUAAACAGUACGUGAAAUUGUUGAAAGGGAAACGCUUGAAGUCAGUCGCGUCCGUCGAGACUCAGCCUUGCCUUUGGCCUGGUGUACUUCUCGGUGGACGGGUCAACAUCGAUUUUGAAUGGCAGAUAAAGGUCUGGGGAAUGUGGCACCUCCGGGUGUGUUAUAGCCUCUCUCCGUAUAUGCUGUUUGGGAUCGAGGACCGCAGCACGCCCUUGUGGCCGGGGUUUUACCCACGUACCGUGCUUAGGAUGUUGGCAUAAUGGCUUUAAGCGACCCGUCUUGAAACACGGACCAAGGAGUCUAACAUGCCUGCGAGUGUUAGGGUGCAAAACCCUUGCGCGUAAUGAAAGUGAAAGUUGGGACCUCUGUCGAGGAGGGCACCGACGCCCGGCCCUGAACUCUUGUGACGGUGCUGCGGUAGAGCAUGUAUGUUGGGACCCGAAAGAUGGUGAACUAUGCCUGAAUAGGGUGAAGCCAGAGGAAACUCUGGUGGAGGCUCGUAGCGAUUCUGACGUGCAAAUCGAUCGUCAAAUUUGGGUAUAGGGGCGAAAGACUAAUCGAACCAUCUAGUAGCUGGUUCCUGC